CCGGGGGUUAUUUUUGGUUUGCGUGUGGUGGUGGCUGGGGGUGUCGCAUCUGGGUUUUUCUCUUCCCCUGGCAGAUGGGGCGCCGGCCCUUCCCCCCUCGCCAGGAGAGGGAGCAGACUGCUGGGUCAGGAAUCCAGGGGGGUGACUCAGCACCCAUGGGUGCUGGGGACCUUGCGCUGGGAAACCCUGCUUGUGUUGGGGAUCGGGGGCUCUGUAGGAGGGGCUGGUCCAGGCAGCCCGGUCAGGGCCAGUGCUUUGGUCCCAGCAGCUGCGGCGGCACCAGACGCUUCUUCCAUAUUGCUACAGCCUAAGCAGGCAGGGCCUCAUCCUUUACUGACCAGGAUGGCGGUACUCCACAGGCCUCUCGGCGACACGGCCCUCCACCCCUGUGUCCAGGUGACCUGGCUUUGCCCACCUCCCUGGUUUCCUCACUGGGUCUGGCUGGGGUCAGCUGAAGCCAGAGUGGAGGCUCCAAAGCUUCCCUCUACUGACCAUGUCCGCGGCCUGUGCAGCCACUGCCCUUGCUUGUGACCUUGGGAGCUAACAGGUGACCAGAGAGGGAGGGAAUCCAGAAGGCUAUGAGAGGUGAGUGAAGGCCUCUGGAAGAUGAGAAGUAGACAAGGCCUGAGUGACAGGUGGCAGGGCAGGAGACAGCAUGGCAGAGGUCGAGAGAAACCAGCUUGAAGUCACAGGACUGUGUUCCUCCCAUCCUGGCCCUGGGAACCUAGGGACCCUGGACAAGGGACAGGUAUUGGUUGGCUUCAGAGGAUGAGCUGGACCCUCGGAGGGACACCUUGUCCCAUUG
This 805-nucleotide long non-coding RNA is filed under the name Meriones unguiculatus (Mongolian gerbil). RNAcentral's name for it is "lncRNA (ENSMUGG00000004843.1)". Lineage: Eukaryota; Metazoa; Chordata; Mammalia; Rodentia; Muridae. The record is from RNAcentral.